GAUGAACGCUGACAGAAUGCUUAACACAUGCAAGUCAACUUGAACUUCGGUUUGGGUGGCGGACGGGUGAGUAACGCGUAAAGAACUUGCCUCACAGAUAGGGACAACAUUGGGAAACGAAUGCUAAUACCUGAUAUUAUGAUUUUAGGGCAUCCUAGGAUUAUGAAAGCUAUAUGCGCUGUGAGAGAGCUUUGCGUCCCAUUAGCUAGUUGGAGAGGUAACGGCUCACCAAGGCGAUGAUGGGUAGCCGGCCUGAGAGGGUGAUCGGCCACAAGGGGACUGAGACACGGCCCUUACUCCUACGGGAGGCAGCAGUGGGGAAUAUUGGACAAUGGACCAAGAGUCUGAUCCAGCAAUUCUGUGUGCACGAUGAAGUUUUUCGGAAUGUAAAGUGCUUUCAGUUGGGAAGAAAAAAAUGACGGUACCAACAGAAGAAGUGACGGCUAAAUACGUGCCAGCAGCCGCGGUAAUACGUAUGUCACAAGCGUUAUCCGGAUUUAUUGGGCGUAAAGCGCGUCUAGGUGGUUAUAUAAGUCUGAUGUGAAAAUGCAGGGCUCAACUCUGUAUUGCGUUGGAAACUGUGUAACUAGAGUACUGGAGAGGUAAGCGGAACUACAAGUGUAGAGGUGAAAUUCGUAGAUAUUUGUAGGAAUGCCAAUGGGGAAGCCAGCUUACUGGACAGAUACUGACGCUGAAGCGCGAAAGCGUGGGUAGCAAACAGG
RNAcentral lists this ribosomal RNA (722 nucleotides) under uncultured Fusobacterium sp. RNAcentral's name for it is "bacterial SSU rRNA". It matches the Rfam family "Bacterial small subunit ribosomal RNA", at positions 28 to 776 of the family's 1533-position model. The record is from RNAcentral. Lineage: Bacteria; Fusobacteriati; Fusobacteriota; Fusobacteriia; Fusobacteriales; Fusobacteriaceae.